Leopardus geoffroyi (Geoffroy's cat) is the source of this 575-nucleotide long non-coding RNA. RefSeq lists it as uncharacterized. The transcript is spliced from 3 exons. Lineage: Eukaryota; Metazoa; Chordata; Mammalia; Carnivora; Felidae. The record is from RefSeq and is a predicted model, not a curated record.
UGAUCAAAGACACAGUAUGAGAAAAGUAGGGAACUAGUCCUUCUGGCUUCCUUUCCUGCUUCCCUCUAUCUUUUUGUGUAUGUUUCUAUCUACCAGGCUCUGUGCUACAUGAUGGGGAUGUCAGGAAGGCUAAGACCCGGAUCCCAACCUCAUGGAACUCAAUUUCUCUAAGAGAAAGUAGAUAGGACAAGAAGUAAAUAUAAUGCAAUUUAAUAAUAUGAUAACAACAUGACAAAAAUGUAUAGUUUCCUUCCAAGCAUGUUGCCAGAUGAACCCUAUGACUCGGCACAUAAACCUCGGAAUACGCAGAAGUUUUGUUCUCCUGUUCUUCUAUGCAUCACCCUUUGAAGAGUGUGUUUUUCCACUUCUGUCCCGCGGGGACCCAUCACGAGCAGAAGAGGUGAAAGGCAUCCGCCCAUCCGACAGGUAGAAAUUUACACGAGUUGACAAUACAUUUGGAAAUGAGAAGCUAUUGUUUCCUCCCAUCUUCAGAGCCAGUUUACAUCGACAAAAGAAAAAAUUAAAGAAAAUUGAGAUUUCCUUUAAUAAAUACAUAUUACCAACUUUUUCUCAUA